UACGUAGGGGGCAAGCGUUGUCCGGAUUUAUUGGGCGUAAAGAGCGUGUAGGCGGCUUUACAGGUCCGUUGUGAAAACUCGAGGCUCAACCUCGAGACGCCGGUGGAAACCGUAAAGCUAGAGUCCGGAAGAGGUGAGUGGAACUCCGAGUGUAGAGGUGAAAUUCGUAGAUAUUCGGAAGAACACCAGUGGCGAAGGCGGCUCACUGGUCCGGUACUGACGCUGAUGUGCGAAAGCGUGGGGAGCAAACAGG
RNAcentral lists this ribosomal RNA (253 nucleotides) under uncultured bacterium. Its description in RNAcentral is "partial 16S ribosomal RNA". It matches the Rfam family "Bacterial small subunit ribosomal RNA", at positions 524 to 776 of the family's 1533-position model. The record is from RNAcentral.